AGCUCCAGUAGCGUAUAUUAAAGUUGUUGCAGUUAAAAAGCUCGUAGUUGGAUUUCUGGCUUGAGACGCCUGAGCCGCCAGGGUUACCUGUGUGAGUCUCGGUGUGUCUCUGCCAUCCUUCUGGAUAGCGUGUCUACCUUUUAUUAGGCCGGGCUCGUGCUCCAGAUCUUUUACUUUGAAAAAAUUAGAGUGUUUAAAGCAAGCUUGCGCUAUGAAUACAUUAGCAUGGAAUAAUAAUUUAGGACUUUGGUUCUAUUUUGUUGGUUUCUAGGACUGAAGUAAUGAUUGAUAGGGAUAGUUGGGGGUGCUAGUAUUCAGCGGCCAGAGGUGAAAUUCUUGGAUUCGCUGAAGACUAACUUAUGCGAAAGCAUUCACCAAGGAUGUCUUCUUUAAUCAAGAA
RNAcentral lists this ribosomal RNA (400 nucleotides) under phytoplankton environmental sample. RNAcentral's name for it is "partial small subunit ribosomal RNA". It matches the Rfam family "Eukaryotic small subunit ribosomal RNA", at positions 587 to 983 of the family's 1831-position model. The record is from RNAcentral.